RNAcentral lists this non-coding RNA (21 nucleotides) under Caenorhabditis elegans. The record is from RNAcentral. Lineage: Eukaryota; Metazoa; Nematoda; Chromadorea; Rhabditida; Rhabditidae.
UAAUACGUCUGGGCGUUUACU